RNAcentral lists this ribosomal RNA (266 nucleotides) under uncultured bacterium. Its description in RNAcentral is "partial 16S ribosomal RNA". It matches the Rfam family "Bacterial small subunit ribosomal RNA", at positions 793 to 1055 of the family's 1533-position model. The record is from RNAcentral.
GUCCACGCCCUAAACGAUGUCAACUGGUUGUUGGUGGGGUUAAACCCAUUAGUAACGAAGCUAACGCGUGAAGUUGACCGCCUGGGGAGUACGGCCGCAAGGUUAAAACUCAAAGGAAUUGACGGGGACCCGCACAAGCGGUGGAUGAUGUGGAUUAAUUCGAUGCAACGCGAAGAACCUUACCUACCCUUGACAUGCCAGGGAGCCCGCUGAGAGGUGGGUGUGCCCGAAAGGGAGCCUGGACACAGGUGCUGCAUGGCUGUCGU